CAGUGCCACUGGCUCGCCUUCAUCAUUCCAGGACAUCAGGGCUCCAGACACCCGUGCGCCCAGCGUGGCCAACCUACACUUCACCCUGGAGGCUUUUGAGUGCCUGUCCGCGAGCCAAGUGGGCCGCCUGUGGGAACAAGUGAGGCAAUUCUGGGCCGACCACUUCUCUCGUCGCUUCUCGCCACGGAGACCGCCGCUGCGCCAUAUCUCAUCCACGUCCACCUUCUACCUGCUGGACUACCGCACGCGACAGGCCGAGCUGGGGCUCAGCUACGGCGCGCCGCGCACUAGACUGAGCGACGAGGCCUUCGUGUUCCGCGGCGGCCG
This 327-nucleotide long non-coding RNA is filed under the name Rattus norvegicus (Norway rat). RNAcentral describes it as "long non-coding RNA NONRATT004219". Lineage: Eukaryota; Metazoa; Chordata; Mammalia; Rodentia; Muridae. The record is from RNAcentral.